RNAcentral lists this ribosomal RNA (253 nucleotides) under uncultured bacterium. RNAcentral describes it as "partial 16S ribosomal RNA". It matches the Rfam family "Bacterial small subunit ribosomal RNA", at positions 524 to 776 of the family's 1533-position model. The record is from RNAcentral.
UACAGAGGUCUCAAGCGUUGUUCGGAAUCACUGGGCGUAAAGGGUGCGUAGGUGGCGUGGCAAGUCAGAUGUGAAAGCCCAGGGCUCAACCCUGGAAUUGCAUCCGAUACUGCCAUGCUAGAGUACUGAAGAGGUGACUAGAAUUCUCGGUGUAGCAGUGAAAUGCGUAGAUAUCGAGAGGAAUACCAAAGGCGAAGGCAGGUCACUGGGCAGUUACUGACACUGAGGCACGAAGGCUAGGGGAGCAAACGGG